UGGGCGCUGCGGGCGGCCGUGCCUGCGGACCGUCAAUGUAAACAAGCUGUCUCGCGGCCCACCAGCAGAUUACCCUGAUGGGCCACGUGCGGCCUGUGGGCCACGGGUUGCCCACCACUGCCCUAGAGGCAGUGCUAUCUUGUCUGGGUAAGCUCCACAGGGCUGGAAAGUGAAGAGAGGCAAUAGAACAUCCCCGGUCCCACAGACUCUUCUCCCUACCCAAAAUGGCCCCCUUUCUAGCACAGAUCUCCAGACCUGCGGAGCGUUCUCUGCAGGGUCUGGUGAAGAGGAGAACAGGGCCAUAGAGGUGACUGAGCCUCAAUUCUGCAUGGGAGGAGAGUGGAGAUCCACAAGCAGAGGGUCCCCUUUGAGCGUGGAUUUAGAAGGCAGAGUCUUAGUCCUUAUCCUCCUUUUACACCGCACGAGCUGCUGGCUUACAGAAGGAAUCUGUGUCAGCACUGGGAUCAUAAUUUCACUUUUGGUUCCCACUCCUAUAUUGAGAUCACUAGACCAGGUGUUCCCAAACUGUUUCAGGAGAUGAACAUUUUAAUAGAGAGAUUGCCUUCUGCACAAUAGCUCCUCCCAAGCGCAAUCCCAUCGACCACUUCCUUUCUCAUUCAAAACAUGCACCAACCUGCGGCAACUACAGCAAAUGCUUACACGAGAAAGAAAUAUCAAGACACGUUGAUGUAUAUUUUUAAUACAAAAGGUGGACAUCUAUAGAAGCAGCUGAAACCAAGGAGAGUCAGCCCUCUGUAGGAUACCAUCAAGUGCUUUGUGUACCCAACCAGCACCACAGACCACACAGAUCAUGCUCAUCUAAUGAGAGAUGAUGUAUUAUGUCAGGGAAUCUAGAAGAAUUUUCAGUACAGAGGAUCAAAACCACUCCUCGCUUGUUAAAUGGAAGAAUAAAAACACAUCCUCAAUCCCAAGAAGGAAAAUAGGAGACUGAAUAGUUCAGUGAAACAUGCCCUGCAAGAUACCAACAAGAAUCCAUCUACACUGUCUUCAUUUUUACACGGCAACAGUUAAAAGGAACAAUUUGAAUGAGAUCUGCUCCAGCCAAGACCAUACUUGCCACCAAAAAUGAAAAGUAAUAUUUUCCUUUGACUGACCUGCAGAACGGAAUCAUGGCCUUAAAACUGUCAGUUCUUUUCUGUCUCACAAUGAUUUCAAUUUUUUCCCUUUAAUCAACAGACAUACUUCCGCCUCAUUAUGGCCCCUACUCAGAAAACCGUAAAGCCAGCUUGUUAUUUCCAGAGCUGCACUGGAAAAUACUAUCUACCAAAGACAUGCUCUUCAGAAACCAAGAGAGCUGGAAAGAACAAUCACAGAGACUUCAUAAAUUAUUAUAAGUAGCAUUGCUCUUAAAUGAGGUAGUGUUUUCAAAUGAAAGUGACAAGUUUGGAUUACUUAUGCAACCAAUAUUAAAUCUGUCAAGAAAGUGAA
Mauremys reevesii (Reeves's turtle) is the source of this 1449-nucleotide long non-coding RNA. RefSeq lists it as uncharacterized. NCBI's taxonomy places the organism in Eukaryota, Metazoa, Chordata, Testudines, Geoemydidae. The record is from RefSeq and is a predicted model, not a curated record. The transcript has 2 exons.